AGGGCCCACGAGCGAUCUGGCUGCGACAUCUGUCACCCCACUGAUCCCCAGGGUUGAUGAGGCAGCUGUCCCCUUCCUCCAUCACCGCCCUGUGGGUGUUCCUCCCGGAAGCGGCCCAUUCUGUGGAAGAGGCUGGCCUUCCUGGUAGAGGAGGAUUAACAUUCUGUCAAGGGGAAUUGAAGAGCUGCGCUCUUGCUAGACUCUCCGAACCAACUCUGAAGAACUGUCUAAAGAACAGUGUGUGAAAAUGGAUGAGGUGCCUGGUGCACAUGCCU
Molecule: small nuclear RNA, 275 nt
Filed under: Echinops telfairi (small Madagascar hedgehog)
Lineage: Eukaryota; Metazoa; Chordata; Mammalia; Afrosoricida; Tenrecidae
Description: 7SK RNA (ENSETEG00000026167.1)
Rfam family: 7SK RNA
About the family: 7SK was discovered as an abundant small nuclear RNA in the mid-70s but a possible function has only recently been suggested.
Source: RNAcentral